GUGAAUCAUCGAAUCUUUGAACGCACCUUGCGCUCCCUGGUAUUCCUAGGAGCAUGCCUGUUUGAGUGUCAUGAAUUCCUCAAACCCCAAUGUUUUGCAAAAUUCAUUGCUUGGGUUUGGUUGUGGGCCUAUAUUGCUGCUUCACGGCAGCUGGCCUUAAAGAUAUUAGCUGGACUCUCCGAGACUCUUGGAUAGUUCCACUUGAUGUGAUAAAUUUGCAUCGGUGGGUCAAGACUAUGCUUGGGAAGUGUGAGAAGUCUGCUUCUAAUCCGGCAAGAGGUUCCAUCCUCGACCCAAUUCAUUUACAACUCUGGCCUCAAAUCAGGUAGGACUACCCGCUGAACUUAA
RNAcentral lists this ribosomal RNA (348 nucleotides) under uncultured fungus. RNAcentral describes it as "eukaryotic LSU rRNA". The stretch from base 1 to 71 matches the Rfam family "5.8S ribosomal RNA", at positions 84 to 154 of the family's 154-position model. Lineage: Eukaryota; Fungi. The record is from RNAcentral.